UACGGAGGGGGCGAGCGUUAUUCGGAAUUAUUGGGCGUAAAGGGCGCGUAGGCGGCUGUGUAAGUCAAAGGUGAAAUCCCUCGGCUCAACUGAGGAACUGCCUUUGAAACUGCUCAGCUUGAGGCCGGGAGGGGGUGGUGGAAUUCCCAGUGUAGCGGUGAAAUGCGUAGAUAUUGGGAGGAACACCAGUGGCGAAGGCGGCCACCUGGACCGGUUCUGACGCUGAGGCGCGAAAGCGUGGGUAGCAAACAGG
This 253-nucleotide ribosomal RNA is filed under the name uncultured bacterium. RNAcentral describes it as "partial 16S ribosomal RNA". It matches the Rfam family "Bacterial small subunit ribosomal RNA", at positions 524 to 776 of the family's 1533-position model. RNAcentral also lists the same sequence under 1 other name. The record is from RNAcentral.